GCGAGCGUGACGGCGCGAGCAGGUGCGAAAGCAGGUCAUAGUGAUCCGGUGGUUCUGAAUGGAAGGGCCAUCGCUCAACGGAUAAAAGGUACUCCGGGGAUAACAGGCUGAUACCGCCCAAGAGUUCAUAUCGACGGCGGUGUUUGGCACCUCGAUGUCGGCUCAUCACAUCCUGGGGCUGAAGUAGGUCCCAAGGGUAUGGCUGUUCGCCAUUUAAAGUGGUACGCGAGCUGGGUUUAGAACGUCGUGAGACAGUUCGGUCCCUAUCUGCCGUGGGCGCUGGAGAACUGAGGGGGGCUGCUCCUAGUACGAGAGGACCGGAGUGGACGCAUCACUGGUGUUCGGGUUGUCAUGCCAAUGGCACUGCCCGGUAGCUAAAUGCGGAAGAGAUAAGUGCUGAAAGCAUCUAAGCACGAAACUUGCC
RNAcentral lists this ribosomal RNA (424 nucleotides) under Escherichia coli. RNAcentral's name for it is "partial 23S ribosomal RNA". It matches the Rfam family "Bacterial large subunit ribosomal RNA", at positions 2375 to 2798 of the family's 2925-position model. The record is from RNAcentral. Lineage: Bacteria; Pseudomonadati; Pseudomonadota; Gammaproteobacteria; Enterobacterales; Enterobacteriaceae.